Non-coding RNA from Cucurbita pepo subsp. pepo (vegetable marrow), 1712 nucleotides. Lineage: Eukaryota; Viridiplantae; Streptophyta; Magnoliopsida; Cucurbitales; Cucurbitaceae. The record is from RefSeq and is a predicted model, not a curated record.
UACUUUUCAAAAUUGCAGUUGAACUUGAGCCCUACGAUCGAGCUCCUUCACCUUUCUUCCUUGCUUCUUUCAGAAGCAGAGGGUGAGAGCUUAUGGAUCAUCGAACGAAGCCAUGGAAUCAUUUGGCGUCUUCAAUUAGUUUCUGUUUCUAGGAACUAUGGUUUGAUGUUGGUGCAAAGGGAAGAGAUCUUGUUGUUCUUUUACCUUUGACGUUAUGAAGACUCUGUUUCGCAUUUCGGUUGGAUUCUUUUUGGCGUUGCUAAUUUUUUACUGCAGCUUCGUUGAUUCCAAGGUGGAAGAAACUGCGAACUCCAGUCUAGAUUCAAAAACAGUGAAUAAAGUAAACGAUGCAAGCAAGGACACUGGUUCUAAUAAGGUUCUCAAUUCUAUUUCUGCUGGUAAGGAAAAGAAGGAUGAACACCAAGUAAGCGUCUCAAACGGGGGUGUUAAGAGCAGCGGGGAUAAAAUUAAGAAGGAUCCUGAAAGUGAAACAACAUCGGAAGAAGGUGCAAAUAAAGUAAAGAGUGACGGUGGUUUAGUUGAGAAAGGAAAGAAUAAGGGAGAGAAAGAGAAGGGGAAGCCAGUAGAUAAUUCAGCUUCGAAAGAAGCGUCUAAGAAUAGUGAGAAGGACGGCAAUUUGGUAACUUCAGCAUUGAAAACAAAGGAUGGCUCUUCGGGUGAGGAUUGUGGUUCAUCAAAUAAGUGCACUGAUGAGGGAAAUAAGCUUGUUGCUUGCUUACGAGUUCCAGGAAAUGAAUCUCCUCAACUUUCGUUGCUAAUCCAGAACAAGGGAACAGGUCCUCUUACUGUGAAAAUUUCUGCGCCCGAUUUUGUUCAUCUGGAGCAGAGUGAAGUUCAACUUCAAGAGAAAGAAGAUAAAAAGGUAAAAGUUUCAGUCAGCAAUGGUGGAGAUGGAAAGGCGAUCAUUCUGACUGCAGGUAGCGGCCGUUGUAGUCUUGAUUUUAGGGAUCUUGUUGAACUCAAUAUUGCCAAAGAUUCUGAUAAUCUUCCCAAGUCCUCACGGUUCAGCUACCUGGCAAAGCCACCUAUUAUUGCAUUUUCAGCUUUUGCUAUAAUUCUGACAUUUGCAGCUGCUUCAGUGUUCAUUAGCAUUCGUCGUAAAAGUUUUGCAAGUAGCAACUCUAAAUACCAAAGGCUGGACAUGGAGCUCCCUAUUUCCAUUGGAGGUAAAUCCGUUGCUGACAAUAACGACGGAUGGGAAAACAGUUGGGAUGACAAUUGGGAUGAUGACACACCACACAAACCUUCCCUGCCUGUUACUCCAAGUCGUUCGUCGAUGGGCCUCGCCUCACGACGGUUGAAUAAGGAGAGCUGGAAAGAUUAGCCACCAGUGUCAGCUUCACACAUUCAUACACAAAAGAAAGAAACCGCUCGAAUGCAGAAUACCGAUUAUCUGGGGUUUUUCGGUCGGGAUUUCAUCAUUCAAGCGAUGAUUGUAAUUACAUAUAAGAUGGCCUGAUGUUGGUUAUAAAUCAUGAAAAGUGACAGUCAAUGUGGAAGAAAAAACGGCCCAAUUAGACAGCUCCACGUGUAAUUACAAGUGGCGUCGGUGAUGAAACGACGGCUAAGUCACUGCUACAGUCAAACUUACCCAUAAACGAGGGCAUGAAGGAGAGGAAGACAACCAAACCACUCAGUGUUACUUUAUUUAUUUAUUUUAAAUAAAUUGAUUACAAAUAUUCUUUUUUAUG